This 34-nucleotide small nuclear RNA is filed under the name Cervus elaphus hippelaphus. Lineage: Eukaryota; Metazoa; Chordata; Mammalia; Artiodactyla; Cervidae. The record is from RNAcentral.
UCCUUUCAGAUCGUAUAAAUCUUUCACCUUUUAC